Molecule: ribosomal RNA, 199 nt
Filed under: uncultured bacterium
Lineage: Bacteria
Description: partial 16S ribosomal RNA
Rfam family: Bacterial small subunit ribosomal RNA
Source: RNAcentral
ACGCUCGACACCUACGGGAGGCAGCAGUGGGGAAUAUUGCACAAUGGGGGAAACCCGUGAUGCAGCGACGCCGCGUGAGUGAAGAAGUAUUUCGGUAUGUAAAGCUCUAUCAGCAGGGAAGAAAAUGACGGUACCUGACUAAGAAGCCCCGGCUAACUACGUGCUAGCAGCCGCGGUAAUCUGAGCGGGCUGGCAAGGC